This 301-nucleotide unclassified non-coding RNA is filed under the name uncultured fungus. Its description in RNAcentral is "partial contains small subunit ribosomal RNA, internal transcribed spacer 1, and 5.8S ribosomal RNA". The stretch from base 1 to 73 matches the Rfam family "Eukaryotic small subunit ribosomal RNA", at positions 1759 to 1831 of the family's 1831-position model. The record is from RNAcentral. Lineage: Eukaryota; Fungi.
UCAAACUUGGUCAUUUAGAGGAAGUAAAAGUCGUAACAAGGUCUCCGUAGGUGAACCUGCGGAGGGAUCAUUACCGAGUAUCCGGGACUAACCGAGCCCGAACUCUCCAACCCUUGCGAACUGAAUAUUGUUGCUCUGGCGGGUCGUGGUUAGCAAUCAGCGAAACCCCACCGGCCCUGGCUGGUGCGUGCCCACCAAAGGUCCACACCAAACCCUUUGAAAUCAGUCUGAUGAAUGGGAUAAAUUUCAAAAAACUUUCAACAAUGGAUCUCUUGGUUCUGGCAUCGAUGAAGAACGCAGC